AUGUUCUCCAUGGUGCUUCAGCUGAUGGAUGAACAGGGUAAGACUGGGUACAAGGGAGGAGCACACCCUCUGAUCCUAGGUACACACCAUAAGGAACGUAUCCCUAGGGAAGGUGCUGCCGAGCUGGCUCCUGGGAAAGGUGUCAAAGGGAAGAAGAGGCAGAGGGAGCCUAGACGCCUAGAAGGAAGACCUCAGGCAACAUGGUUGUCUACACAGCUGGAAAGUUCUGCCAGUAGCUGGAAGACAAAUCAGGCUUGUCCUGGACUUUUUCUACAGCUGCUCUCUUCUUCCUCCACAGGCUCCUUGGACACCAAGGUCACCCAGAGACCUAGAUAUGUGGUCACAGCAAAGGAACAGAAAGCAAAGAUGGAUUGUGUCCCUAUAAAAGGACAUAGUUAUGUUUACUGGUAUCAUAAGAAGCUGGAAGAAGAGCUCAAGUUUUUGGUUUACCUUCAGAAUGGAGAAAUUAUUCAGAAAUCAGAAGUGAUCAAUGAGCGAUUUUUAGCCCAAUGCCCCGAAAACUCACCCUGUGCCUUGGAGAUCCAGUCCACUGAGUCAAAGGAUGAAGGACUGUAUUUCUGUGCCAGCAGCGAAGCCACAGUGUCAAAUGUUAGCCCUUCUUAGAACAC
This is a non-coding RNA of Callithrix jacchus (white-tufted-ear marmoset), 629 nucleotides long. The record is from the annotation of a RefSeq genome assembly. NCBI's taxonomy places the organism in Eukaryota, Metazoa, Chordata, Mammalia, Primates, Cebidae.